AAUGAACGCUGGCGGCAUGCCUUACACAUGCAAGUCGAACGGUAGCAUGACCUAGCUUGCUAGGUUGAUGGCGAGUGGCGAACGGGUGAGUAAUGCAUCGGAACGUGCCUUUUAGUGGGGGAUAACGUAGCGAAAGUUACGCUAAUACCGCAUAUUCUCUGAGGAGGAAAGCAGGGGACCUUCGGGCCUUGCGCUAGAAGAGCGGCCGAUGUCGGAUUAGCUAGUUGGUGAGGUAAAGGCUCACCAAGGCAACGAUCCGUAGCGGGUCUGAGAGGAUGAUCCGCCACACUGGGACUGAGACACGGCCCAGACUCCUACGGGAGGCAGCAGUGGGGAAUUUUGGACAAUGGGCGCAAGCCUGAUCCAGCCAUGCCGCGUGAGUGAAGAAGGCCUUCGGGUUGUAAAGCUCUUUCGGCUGGGAAGAAAUCGCACCCUCUAAUACAGGGUGUGGAUGACGGUACCAGCAUAAGAAGCACCGGCUAACUACGUG
Molecule: ribosomal RNA, 490 nt
Filed under: uncultured bacterium
Lineage: Bacteria
Description: partial 16S ribosomal RNA
Rfam family: Bacterial small subunit ribosomal RNA
Source: RNAcentral